Molecule: long non-coding RNA, 820 nt
Filed under: Apteryx owenii (little spotted kiwi)
Lineage: Eukaryota; Metazoa; Chordata; Aves; Apterygiformes; Apterygidae
Description: lncRNA (ENSAOWG00000013555.1)
Source: RNAcentral
GGAUACAUCUGCAUUCACUUGAACAGAGUGGAUUUCAUUGUAGGACAGAUUCAGGAAUCACGCCCAAGACAAGAAAUGCACUACACAGUAAAACAUUGGGCUAGAUCUGUUUUGGAGUAAAUGAGAAUGCAGGGGCACUGACAAAAGAAAUCCAUCAAAAGAAUCACUGCAAAAAAUGUCUGCAUCUUCUCCUCCUCCGGAUGUGAGUGAACUACAACAUUCAGCUUUACACAUGUGCACCUCCAUCCCAGCUGGGUACCUUUGUCCAAAUAUGAGUGGCGUGGCAUCAAAGAUCAGAUCGGCUGAAAUCUUCUGCGGAAUGAAGUCUUCUCUCACGUUUGGAUCAUGUAUAUGUUUAGUGACCCCGCAGCUGCUGUAAGGGCCCAACUGAACUUAGGACAGACAUUCAAAGUUCACCAGGCUAACUUCUUGCAGGCAGCUGUUUCACAGAAUCACAGAAUGGUUGAGGUUGGAAGGGACCUCUGGAGAUCAUCUAGUCCAACCCCCCUGCUCAAGCAGGGUCACCUGGAGGACAUUGACAGGAUCGCGUCCAGGCGAGUUUUGAAUAUCUCCAGAGAAGGAGACUCCACAACCUCUCUGGGCAACCUGUUCCAGUGCUCUGUCACCCUCACAGUGAAGAAGUUUUUCCUCAUGUUCACAUGGAAUUGUCUGUGUUUCAGUUUGUGCCCGUUGCCUCUUGUCCUUGUAAUGGCACUUUUGACAUAAACAAUAGAGCUUCCUUGCAAAGUGGGGGAACUGAGAAGUAGUGGUUUGAUAGGAAAUGAAGAGUAGGGCUGGAAUAAAUGUUUGCCAGAGGACA